GCCGGGUGUGGUGGCACAUGCCUGUAAUCCCAGCUACUUGGGAGGCUGAGGCAGGAGAAUCAUUUGAACCCAGGAGGCUGAGGUUGUAGUGAGCUGAGAUCAAGCCACUGCACUCCAGCCUGGGUGACAGAGUGAGACUCUGACUCAA
Molecule: signal recognition particle RNA, 148 nt
Filed under: Gorilla gorilla gorilla (western lowland gorilla)
Lineage: Eukaryota; Metazoa; Chordata; Mammalia; Primates; Hominidae
Description: Metazoan signal recognition particle RNA
Rfam family: Metazoan signal recognition particle RNA
About the family: The signal recognition particle (SRP) is a universally conserved ribonucleoprotein.
Source: Rfam by way of RNAcentral